UUCGCGUGAUUCAACAACAACCUUUCAUCUUGGGGGCUCGUCCGGGAUCCUUCAGGACAAGCUCGAGAAGAUCUAAAGGAUAAACUGCUGGGUCUGCGGAGCACUCCCCUCUUCGUCAAUAGAAGGCUUCCCGUGGUGGACAUCCCCACUUCAAGAAAAAGACUUUCUCCAAGUCUGUGAAUACCUUCGACAACAAACACAUGUGAUGCCUCUUCUUCAUCUGAUGACAACUACCAACCCUAAAAUGGACUGGUGCAACACUUUGUACUCUAACUAUGGGCAUAAUGUGACUUUUAACUUUGAUUAUACAUUGUCUAGGUUCAAUGACUAUUUUCUACAUAUAAGGUAAACCGGUCUAGAUCUAAUGGUUUUUUGCCUGACGUUUAUCAAAUAUGGGACGAGGUUACAUGGCUAACUCCUGAAAAAGGACGCUUAAUAUCUACUGCCUCUAUAUGCUGGGAACAAACAGAGCCGUCCCCAAAAGUUAGCCAACAACUUAAUUACAAUGAUUGGAAACAAUUGGGAUAUUUGUCUCAGGAAACAUGCAAUGUAAUCAUUCCCGU
Long non-coding RNA from Bubalus bubalis (water buffalo), 563 nucleotides. RefSeq lists it as uncharacterized. The transcript has 2 exons. The record is from RefSeq and is a predicted model, not a curated record. Lineage: Eukaryota; Metazoa; Chordata; Mammalia; Artiodactyla; Bovidae.